This 770-nucleotide ribosomal RNA is filed under the name uncultured bacterium. RNAcentral's name for it is "bacterial SSU rRNA". It matches the Rfam family "Bacterial small subunit ribosomal RNA", at positions 28 to 807 of the family's 1533-position model. The record is from RNAcentral.
GAUAAACGCUGGCGGCGCACAUAACACAUGCAAGUCGAACGGACUUAUCCAUUAUUUUUCUAUUGGAGCGGGGAGUGGCGGACUGGUGAGAAACACAUAAACCCCCUGCCUAUCAGAGGGGAACAACAGUUAGAAAUGACUGCUAAUACCGCAUAUGCCUUAGAAUCACAUGGUUCAAAAGGGAAAGGAGCAAUCCGCCGAUAGAUGGGCUUGCGUCUGAUUAGAUAGUUGGUGAGGUAACGGCCCACCAAGUCGACGAUCAGUAGCCGGACUGAGAGGUUGAACGGCCACAUUGGGACUGAGAUACGGCCCUGACUCCUACGGGAGGCAGCAGUCGGGAAUAUUGCGCAAUGGAGGAAACUCUGACGCAGUGACGCCGCGUGCAGGAAGAAGGUUUUCGGAUUGUAAACUGCUUUAGACAGGGAAGAUACAAGACAGUACCUGUAGAAUAAGCUCCGGCUAACUACGUGCCAGCAGCCGCGGUAAUACGUAGGGAGCAAGCGUUAUCCGGAUUUAUUGGGUGUAAAGGGUGCGUAGACGGGAAAACAAGUUAGUUGUGAAAUCCCUCGGCUUAACUGAGGAACUGCAACUAAAACUAUUUUUCUUGAGUGCUGGAGAGGAAAGUGGAAUUCCUAGUGUAGCGGUGAAAUGCGUAGAUAUUAGGAGGAACACCAGUGGCGAAGGCGACUUUCUGGACAGUAACUGACGUUGAGGCACGAAAGUGUGGGGAGCAAACAGGAUUAGAUACCCUGGUAGUCCACACCGUAAAC